GAUGAACGCUGGCGGCGUGCCUAAUACAUGCAAGUCGAGCGAACAGACGAGGAGCUUGCUCCUCUGACGUUAGCGGCGGACGGGUGAGUAACACGUGGAUAACCUACCUAUAAGACUGGGAUAACUUCGGGAAACCGGAGCUAAUACCGGAUAAUAUAUUGAACCGCAUGGUUCAAUAGUGAAAGACGGUUUUGCUGUCACUUAUAGAUGGAUCCGCGCCGCAUUAGCUAGUUGGUAAGGUAACGGCUUACCAAGGCAACGAUGCGUAGCCGACCUGAGAGGGUGAUCGGCCACACUGGAACUGAGACACGGUCCAGACUCCUACGGGAGGCAGCAGUAGGGAAUCUUCCGCAAUGGGCGAAAGCCUGACGGAGCAACGCCGCGUGAGUGAUGAAGGUCUUCGGAUCGUAAACCUCUGUUAUUAGGGAAGAACAAAUGUGUAAGUAACUAUGCACGUCUUGACGGUACCUAAUCAGAAAGCCACGGCUAACUACGUG
RNAcentral lists this ribosomal RNA (497 nucleotides) under uncultured bacterium. RNAcentral describes it as "partial 16S ribosomal RNA". It matches the Rfam family "Bacterial small subunit ribosomal RNA", at positions 28 to 507 of the family's 1533-position model. The record is from RNAcentral.